GGUGCCUGUGGCUCAAUCGGUUAGAGCGCCACACUGUGGAUGUGGACGUUGUGGGUUCAAGUCCCAUCAGGCACCC
RNAcentral lists this transfer RNA (76 nucleotides) under Chloroflexota bacterium. RNAcentral's name for it is "Chloroflexi bacterium (groundwater metagenome) tRNA-His". It matches the Rfam family "tRNA". Rfam says of the family: Transfer RNA (tRNA) molecules are approximately 80 nucleotides in length. Their secondary structure includes four short double-helical elements and three loops (D, anti-codon, and T loops). Further hydrogen bonds mediate the characteristic L-shaped molecular structure. tRNAs have two regions of fundamental functional importance: the anti-codon, which is responsible for specific mRNA codon recognition, and the 3' end, to which the tRNAs corresponding amino acid is attached (by aminoacyl-tRNA synthetases). tRNAs cope with the degeneracy of the genetic code in two manners: having more than one tRNA (with a specific anti-codon) for a particular amino acid; and 'wobble' base-pairing, i.e. permitting non-standard base-pairing at the 3rd anti-codon position. Lineage: Bacteria; Bacillati; Chloroflexota. The record is from RNAcentral.